This 1229-nucleotide long non-coding RNA is filed under the name Rattus norvegicus (Norway rat). RNAcentral describes it as "long non-coding RNA NONRATT000138". Lineage: Eukaryota; Metazoa; Chordata; Mammalia; Rodentia; Muridae. The record is from RNAcentral.
AGUAAGCGGAGCCUUUGGGGCGUGGGGUCGGUGGCAGUAUGUGGCCCGUCUGUGCGCGGAGGGUGCAGAGUGCUGUUCCCAGGGCCGGGUUCAGGGCUCGGUGGGCAACUUUGAAGGGCCCGAGGACCGGCCCCGCCGCAGUUCGUUGCAGCAGUGGGAUACCCAGCUAUGGGGUCCGCUCGUUGUGCGGCUGGAGCUAUGGCUCUGCCACCGUCCCACGUAACCGCAUACUGCAACAACUCCUGGGGUCGCCCAGCCGCCGCUCUUAUAGCCUCCCUCCGCACCAGAAGGUUCCACUACCUUCACUUUUCCCUACAAUGCAGGCAGGCACCAUAGCCCGCUGGGAAAAAAAAAGAAGGGGAAAAAAUCAGUGAGGGUGAUCUAAUUGCAGAGGUUGAAACUGAUAAAGCCACUGUUGGAUUUGAGAGCUUGGAGGAGCGCUAUAUGGCAAAGAUCCUUGUUCCUGAGGGGACCAGAGAUGUUCCAGUUGGAUCUAUCAUUUGUAUCACAGUUGAAAAGCCUCAGGAUAGAUAUUGAGGCCUUUAAAAAUUAUACAUUGGAUUCAGCAACAGCUGCCACACAGGCAGCCCCAGCCCCAGCUGCAGCUCCAGCUGCUGCCCCAGCUGCACCUUCUGCAAAUGCUCCAGGUAACUCCUAUCCCGUUCACAUGCAGAUUGUUCUUCCUGCCCUCUCCCCAACCAUGACCAUGGGCACCUUCCAGAGGUGGGAAAAGGAAGUGGGAGAGAAGCUGAGUGAAGGAGACUUGCUGGCAGAGAUAGAGACCGACAAGGCCACCAUAGGCUUUGAAGUACAAGAAGAAGGUUAUCUGGCAAAAAUCCUGGUCCCUGAAGGCACAAGGGAUGUUCCUCUGGGAACCCCACUAUGUAUCACAGUAGAAAAACAGGAAGAUAUAGCAGCAUUUGCAGACUACAGGCCAACAGAAGUGACCAGCUUAAAGCCACAGGCACCACCACCUGUCCCACCCCCAGUGGCAGCUGUUCCUCCCACCCCCCAGCCUUUAGCACCUACCCCCUCAGCCGCUCCUGCUGAACCAAAGGGAAGGGUGUUUGUUAGCCCUCUUGCAAAGAAAUUGGCAGCAGAAAAAGGGAUUGACCUCACCCAAGUUAAAGGGACGGGACCAGAAGGCAGAAUCAUCAAGAAGGACAUUGACUCUUUUGUGCCUACUAAGGCUGCUCCUGCUGCUGCAGCAGCUGCUCCCCCGGGUCCAA